UUUCCGAAUUUCGAUGUCUAGUC
This 23-nucleotide non-coding RNA is filed under the name Arabidopsis thaliana (thale cress). Lineage: Eukaryota; Viridiplantae; Streptophyta; Magnoliopsida; Brassicales; Brassicaceae. The record is from RNAcentral.